Molecule: long non-coding RNA, 331 nt
Filed under: Sus scrofa (pig)
Lineage: Eukaryota; Metazoa; Chordata; Mammalia; Artiodactyla; Suidae
Description: lncRNA (ENSSSCG00060063095.1)
Source: RNAcentral
CUUGGUUCCUCCCCCUCUCCCCCACCACCUCUACUGCUUUCAAAUGGCCAGUGCCCUGCUGGGAUUUUGCUGUUUAAAUGUUUCACAUCCACUUAGGAUUAAAAUAUUUGAAAAUCACCGAAUUGAGAACAUCAUUAUGUUGUCGUGUUCAAGGACCAAUGCCAAAUGGAAAGUCAGAAACUAGAGCUGAAGAGCUAUCCAUCUUUCAAGUUGCUUGAUGUUUUUGGAAUCGGUGGAGAGUUCAACAUCUGGCUUUCCCCCAGUUAAGUAUCUCUCUUUUCUGUUUUGGAACUUAAUGGAUGAGCUAAAUAGAAAGGAGAAAAAUACAGAA